GGGUUAAGUCCCGCAACGAGCGCAACCCUUAUCCUUUGUUGCCAGCACGUAAUGGUGGGAACUCAAGGGAGACUGCCGGUGACAAACCGGAGGAAGGUGGGGAUGACGUCAAGUCAUCAUGGCCCUUACGAGUAGGGCUACACACGUGCUACAAUGGCAGAUACAAAGUGAAGCGAACUCGCGAGAGCCAGCGGACCACAUAAAGUCUGUCGUAGUCCGGAUUGGAGUCUGCAACUCGACUCCAUGAAGUCGGAAUCGCUAGUAAUCGUAGAUCAGAAUGCUACGGUGAAUACGUUCCCGGGCCUUGUACAC
Molecule: ribosomal RNA, 312 nt
Filed under: Leptospira borgpetersenii serovar Ballum
Lineage: Bacteria; Pseudomonadati; Spirochaetota; Leptospiria; Leptospirales; Leptospiraceae
Description: bacterial SSU rRNA
Rfam family: Bacterial small subunit ribosomal RNA
Source: RNAcentral